CCUCCUGCUGCUACCUGCGAUUGCUACCAGCUGUGGUGUAACACAGUCUCAGAUUUGCGAAAUAAAACAAAAGUCAUCAUCAUCAUCAUCAAACUCCAAAAUUGUGAAUGCUGAGAGCAGUAGGAACGCUGAGCAUGAUCCAGGGUACUUUCCAUGCACGUUGGAACCAUUCUUGGAACCAUUCCUAUUUUUGGACACGCUGGCCAUGAAGGAUAGCACUUCCACUUGCCACAUUCGAUUUGAAUGUAGCCAAGUUUGGCUAGGAGGUUACGGAGAGAAUGACAUUUUACAUCCAUGUUGAAAAGCCGAAUCGCCCUGCACAUCAGAGCCAAUCACAAUGUUAGUACUUUACUUUGUACAUAGCUACGGGUGGAAAGGUUUCUAGUUCACUAACGUCCAUCGUCCUGCCAUGCAACAAACUGUGUAACGACCAUAGUUGGCGUUGCCCGUCAGCACGGUCAGAGCCCUCCGCUGUACACCAUACAGGUAAGUACCUAGAGCGGCAGUUAAAGGGAAACUGAACGCCAAAAAUAAGUAUGGCUUAUCCGAAGGGGAAUUGGGCACUGAUUCCGAUGAGCUAUGUCUCGAGCCGAUCAGAGAAGAGGAACUGUGUCAAAUUUCAUAAAUAACACCUCCCAUAUUUGGAAAUUGGCCUUGAUGACGUGCGUACUGCUUAGCUGUCACCAUGCUGUGCAUGUUCAGCAGUGUAAUUGAAUGGAAGAAAACAAUUACUUUGGUGUUUUGCAGCUCUGUUUCGUUCCCUGACGGUAACCAAAUCUAGAUGUAGGAAUCUGUUGAGCAGGAGAGUGACACCUGUCUUCCCGAAGGCUGUCCAGGCUGCAGUGGUGAUGAAGAAGACACGAUCAUCACCCCGAGAUCGAUCGUAGCGAAUUGGAAAACUCAUGGUGAAUUUGCUUCCACUCCAAGGCAAUGUCGAGGUAUGAAGGGUGCUUGUACUGCCUUCCGAAGUGAAGAGGAGAUGAACAUGGCUUUGCAUAGCUGUUGUUCUAUGCCAACUUACCUACUCUUGCUGGUACCGUAGUGGCAUAUUGCAAAUUUCGUGGACGAACAACUCUAGUCACUAGUGGCUAGUGAGCAACACUAACAGACCAGAAUGCUUCGUUAUCAACUCCUGGCUUUCCAUCGGCAUGGUGUUCAGCUGCAGCGGCAUCUGGUCCGGGGAGUUCAAGUUGCUGGAUGGCUGCACUGACACAGGAUGGGUUUGCGUUGGCAAUGCGAUACGGCAGUCAUCCCACAUCACGAGCUACAUGUUUAUGUAAUUUAUAUUGUCGCUUGUCCAGCAACGUCAAGGCUCUGCAUGUAAACACAGGAGAACACCAUAAUACUACUCAGGGGAUAAUAAUUUUGGGUAUCAAUUUCGUGACAAUUAUUAGAUUCACACAAUAUUCACAACGUAUGCAACACGAUGCUGUCUAUUGACACUACUUCAAACUGAAGUGCUCACUACUCCUCUCCCGUUUUUAUCUCCCUCUACCUUAUGAAUACUCUGCAUUACUGGUUUCGUUUCUACCCUUUCCAUUGCUGCCAGCUCCCAGUCUUUUUCAAUGCACAGCACCACCUUGACAGUCAUUUUUGUGAUUUGAUGUACACAUACUUUGAAGUUCAAAUUCGAAUUACAUGAUCAGAUUUUUGUUCCACAUUUUCUAUUUAUUUUUACUUCAAGCACAACCCUACCGAUGAAGGGAAAGAAGCAGCAGAGAGA
Molecule: long non-coding RNA, 1723 nt
Organism: Sycon ciliatum
Lineage: Eukaryota; Metazoa; Porifera; Calcarea; Leucosolenida; Sycettidae
Exons: 2
Source: RefSeq, a predicted model, not a curated record